AGUGAACGCUGGCGGCGUGCCUAAUACAUGCAAGUCGAACGGAGAUUAAGUAGCUUGCUAUUUAAUCUUAGUGGCGCACGGGUGAGUAAUAUAUAGCUAACUUGCCCAUUACUAAGGGACAACAGUUGGAAACGACUGCUAAUACCUUAUACUCCGUAUCUAUAUAAGUAGAUACGGGAAAGUUUUUCGGUAAUGGAUAGGGCUAUAUCGUAUCAGCUAGUUGGUAAGGUAAUGGCUUACCAAGGCUAUGACGCGUAACUGGUCUGAGAGGAUGAUCAGUCACACUGGAACCGAGACACGGUCCAGACUCCUACGGGAGGCAGCAGUAGGGAAUAUUGCUCAAUGGGGGAAACCCUGAAGCAGCAACGCCGCGUGGAGGAUGACACUUUUCGGAGCGUAAACUCCUUUUCUUGGGAAAGAAUUAUGACGGUACCCAAGGAAUAAGCACCGGCUAACUCCGUG
RNAcentral lists this ribosomal RNA (462 nucleotides) under uncultured bacterium. RNAcentral's name for it is "partial 16S ribosomal RNA". It matches the Rfam family "Bacterial small subunit ribosomal RNA", at positions 29 to 507 of the family's 1533-position model. The record is from RNAcentral.